Long non-coding RNA from Rhinopithecus roxellana (golden snub-nosed monkey), 4713 nucleotides. RefSeq lists it as uncharacterized. The record is from RefSeq and is a predicted model, not a curated record. The transcript is spliced from 3 exons. Lineage: Eukaryota; Metazoa; Chordata; Mammalia; Primates; Cercopithecidae.
GUGCUGGGAUUACGGCCAUGAGCCACCACACCCAAGAACUUAAUACCUUGUUUUAAAAAAUCAUAAUGGGCUGGUUAAAUGCUUACGUUAAUGUUUAUUUUUAAACAUGUAAUCUGUGACGUUUCAGCUUUUCAUAGCACUUCUCGUGUGAACAUUUAAAAAAGGCCCUUUAGUCGUGGGGAAGAAGGAGUUAUCCCUUUCAGCAGAGGGAGAUGGAGGAACAGGCGCUGGUGGGUCUGAGCACAGGCAGUCACCCCAGCCUUGGUGCUUGCUUAGGUCUGUUCUCCGUUCACCGUAGCCGCUUCCACUCUCAUUGUCAGCUUAAAAAUAAGCAUUUUCCUCUUUCUAAUCGGAACAGUUAGUUUGUUAACCAUCACGUGAAGGUAUCGAGAAUGAUGGCUUUCAGGCCUCAGAAAUGAGACAAGUAGUAAAUGCAGCUGACCCUGAACAACAUAGGUUUUGAGCUUCGAAGGAUCACUUAUGUUAAUUAUUUUCCAACCAAACCCUUACUGAAAAAACCUGGCUUUGUGGAGGGCCGACGUUUCCUACAUGCGGUUCCAUAGGGUGGCCGCGGGGUCCUGUGGAUACGUAGAUUUGGGUCAACUCGGGGCGUGUUCUGGAAUCCAUGUCCCUGUGGACACAGAGGGACAACUGCAGCUUUUUAAAAGUUUGUGUCCUGCCUUGUCCUAAAAAGGCUCCAAGGUGGAUGCAAAAUUAUUUCAUUCUUUUGGUUUUCUUGGUGGGAUAUUGAUGUUUAUUCUUCAGUGUCUAAAAUCCUGAGAGAACAGAGUUAGUGCUUCAGGAACAAAGCCAGUCUGGAAACACAUAUUGAGAUAUCCACCUUUUCUUCAUGGUUUCACAAAAGCCAUGAUCAUAUUUUAUUCAGUUGAACCGUAGGAAACUGCCAAUAUUUGCUGUUUUUGGCCUAGAAAAUGGCAAGUUCGUACGAUAUUAAAAACAAAGGCUGCCUGGAUGGGGAACAUAGGAAUCGGUAAGAACCUGAAGUUGUCUGUCAUGGCCUCUGAGUCACAGGUAAAUAAACCUGCGUGAGGGGAAGUUGGCUGUACAGUAUUUUCCUUCUGUUUAGAGACUGUCAGAAAAAGGUGAGUUCCAUUGCGUUGGGUCCCUUUGCCUCACCUUUGCUGCAGAGGGGACUUGCCAUUAUUGCUCUUGUUCCCAGUGCCCAGGAGGCUGAUGCCACAUAGAAGACCUGCAGAUCGGCGGAUGUGAAACAGGCAUCGGACACGCUGUGCACCUUGGGACGCAUCUGAGAAGUGUGUGCUUGCAGGAGGUCUGAGCUCCGUGUCUGACCGGUGUCUCCCAGUCUGCAACAGGACGUUCACGUGACUUGGCGCCAUCGUCCCACUCUGUGUAGACGUCUGAGGAUCUGUGCGCGGCUGCUCUGUGAGAAUGAGUUGUGAUAAUGAACUGAGAAACAGUGAACAAACCCUGAAUUGGUUAGCACUGGUUCCACGGCCACUUCUGCCGUGGUUGGAGUCAUUCAUAAUAAAGUGUGCUGGACUCCUAUGCAGAGAUCUGAAUUUCAGAGGCCCUUUAACUCGCCAGCUAACUAGCCGCUUCCUUCAGAAGACAUUUGAGUCCCCUUUACCUGCCAGGGUGACCCUGGGAGUUUGAAGAUGAGUGAGACAAGCCCUCCGUGUCUUGUGGAUUUUACUGUCCAGAGGGGAGACAGAUGUGGAUGGCGAAGGAGGCCCUAUCAGAGGUCAGCGCACGUCAGUUUUGUUUCUUCAGCACUUGCUGUGUUCAGGCGGUGCCCCGGGCCAUGUGCAGAGCAUCUGGGGACCCUGCCCAUGGCAUCCUAGGCACAGCUAGCAUCUGCGCCAUCUUCAUACUUGGCCUGAGUUUUGGGGAAGUACCGAGGAUGGCUUCUGCCUUUGCUGGAGAGAGUUGGAAGUCAGGGCAGCCCUCCACAAGGAGAUGAUCGCCAGCUGAUUCCUCAAGAAAGAGAGUAUUGAUCUUGACAAGGGAAAUGGUGAGAACCAAAUGUGCCGCCCAGCUUGGGCCUUGCCGUUGGCAGAAGACCCUGGCGGGCAACAGACUGGAGACUCGGAGACCGAGGGGAGAAUUCUCACGCCAUGACGCUGGUGCAGUCUGUGCUUCUGGACUCUUGCGGGAGGGAGCGGCCCCUUUGCCUUGCAGGCUUCGGUGCAGUGGAGACCUUAGGACCUGCCCCUCCUGGCACACCUGUGGGUGUGGCGAGCAGUGCCAGGGCUGAGGCACAGGUGUUGAGCCCGGAACGUGGGACGGGAGAGGCUGCACACGCCGGCAGGCGUCUGCUCCAGCAGCCGGGGGUUUCCGCAAGGGGGCAGGGCGUUGGUUUUCCUCCUUGAAUUUGGGUGGGGAGGGUGUCCUGGGGUGCUGUGUCUGCACUUGUGUUGCUCUGAGGUCAAGUUGUGGCCUCGAGUCCCUGUCCCUCUGCCAAAGUGAGGGUUUGCCCAUUUUCAGGUCAGAUUUCCCUUGGGUCCGGGCCUCUAGGAGUGGGGGGCAUUCGAAGGGGCCGUGAGCACGGUGGACGCGCGUGGGUCCUCUUCCUCUCCCCUCAGCUCCUGGGCUGUGUGUGAAGAGCUGCCCAGCGGAAUCACCCUCCUGCCUGGUGUUUCAUUCACCACAAAUCGUUCUCACUGUGGACUCUUGAGUCAAAUGUAAUCCAGGAAUGGAACGUGCUGUUGCUGGAUGCCACACACAGCAUCAGGAGCCUAGUUGGGGAUUCUAUGAUCUUACCCCACACCUUAAAAGUAAAGACUAGAGUUGUCAGGCCUCUGAGCCCAAGCCAAGCCAUCGCAUCCCCUGUGACUUGCACGUAUAUACGCCCAGAUGGCCUGAAGUAACUGAAGAAUCACAAAAGUGCAAAUGCCCUGGACUUAACUGAUAACGUUCUACCAGAAAUAAGUGAAAAUGGCCAGUCCUUGCCUUAAGCGAUGAUUUGUGUGUGUGUGUGUGAAAUUCCUUUUCCUGGCUCAUCCUGGCUCAAAAAGCUCCCCCACUGAGCACCUUGUGAUCCCCACUCCUGCCCGCCAGAGAACAACCCCCCUUUGACUGUAAUUUUCCUUUACCUAUACAAAUCCUAUAAAAUGGCCCCACAGUUAACUCCCUUCGCUCUUUUUGAACUCAGCCCGCCUGCACCCAGGUGAAAUAAACAGCCAUGUUUCGCUCACAAAGCCUGUUUGGUGGUCUCUUCACACGGGCGUGCAUGACAAUAGUUAAGGGGAUACUGAAGUCUUUGGCAGCUCCAAGAGCUUUUUCAGUUUGUGUCAGGGCAUUUUAGGCAGAAGGAAAAGCUUGCUUAGAGAAUCUUACAGAAAUGUUUGGUGCAGUGCCAUUCACUCGUGGAAUAAAUGUGUAACUUUCCAUGGCGGCCCUCUGGAAAGAGAUGCACUCUGAGUGCACCCUGGCCUGCUCGCUACAAGAAUCGGCCGUGUCACCCCGCCUUCCGUGGGUCUGCAGAUGUGCGUGGUUCAUCGCCCUGCACUGUGGCCAUGGAAGGGAAGAUGAUCUGGAAUGCUGGCGACAGUUAUCGGUGCGUGUUGAUGUGUGCUGCUUUCUACAGGGGAGAACAUUUCUGUUUAAUAAACAUCUCAUCACGAUGAUGACUGCAAGAUAUGUGAGUCUCAUUCAGUAGUGUUUCUGGGUUCCUUCUGGUUUUAAUCUGCUUUCUAGCACUAGGCAAGUGAAGACAUGGAAAGUAAAAACCCAUCGAACUUGUAGAGACAAGGUGUUGUGUAGGAGCAGACUGUAGCCUCUGGCUCUGUUUAAAGAUUGUAGUAAACCUCUUACCUGGCAUGGUCAGGGUGUAAAUUAUCUUGUUUAAUCGAAAUGUGUAUGAGUCAAAGCUGGCGCCUGCAUUGUUGAUGAAAUACCAGAUUUUAAGGGAACAUGUCAAUGUGCCGUAAGAUACCAACAAAGUUCCUCACUGAGGUUCGGUGCGGGUUCGGAGGAGCUGGGCCUCAGGUCACUAGGGUCGUCUCUGGGAGCAGAUGCUCAGUGUGGGCAUUAGUCACUUAGCCUUUCCAGAGCCGAGGAACAGCUCUCUGUGGUGGUUUUUGGAACCUGUAUUUAGAGUCAGUUUGUCCCACUUGACUCGAAGUUGCUGCGCAAUUUCAGACUUUUGCCUCCACCGUGCGCUCGUUUUCUUGUCUCCUGAUAACUGCCUCGGUUGCCCCGGCCUGACAUUCGAGCCACGUCUUUCAUGGACACAGGCUCCGUGGUGGGGCAAAGGCCGCGACUCCGGCUUGCACAGUUCCGUGCCUCUCACCAUGGUUUAUCACAUCACUCCCGGGAUCUCCCGUUUAGGGGAAGAGUGUCCGUUUCCUGCAGGCCCUGUGUGGUGUGGAAAGCACCCCUACCUACCUUUCUCCUGUUUGAACUGUACCGUGAAGCUAUUUCUGUUCUAGUCAGCCGUCAGAAUUUAAGGAACAGUGAUUUAUGUAACUUAUCACACGCUUCUCAGCAGUUCUUGAUGAAUUUCAUUCUGUUGAGAAAUGAUUGCAGUUAUCACGGCUAUGCUGGUCUCACGUUGAGGCCCUUGAAAUGAAUUCCCUUCCCCAUUGUGUGUUAAGGUUGUGCCUGGGAGCUGUUGAGGCCUCACCUCUGCUUAGGGCAGUGGCUUUGCUCUCCUGACAACAGGAAGAAUCUUUUUUUUUUUUUUUUGAGACGAGUCUUGCUCUGUCGCCCGGGCUGGAGUGCAGUGGCCGG